Molecule: ribosomal RNA, 253 nt
Filed under: uncultured bacterium
Lineage: Bacteria
Description: partial 16S ribosomal RNA
Rfam family: Bacterial small subunit ribosomal RNA
Source: RNAcentral
UACGGAGGGGGCUAGCGUUGUUCGGAAUCACUGGGCGGAAAGCGCACGUAGGCGGCUUUUUAAGUCAGGGGUGAAAUCCUGGAGCUCAACUCCAGAACUGCCUUUGAUACUGAGAAGCUUGAGUCCGGGAGAGGUGAGUGGAACUGCGAGUGUAGAGGUGAAAUUCGUAGAUAUUCGCAAGAACACCAGUGGCGAAGGCGGCUCACUGGCCCGGUACUGACGCUGAGGUGCGAAAGCGUGGGGAGCAAACAGG